This 58-nucleotide transfer RNA is filed under the name Mycobacteroides chelonae. RNAcentral describes it as "(Mycobacterium chelonae corrig. Bergey et al. 1923 (Approved Lists 1980) emend. Kim et al. 2017) tRNA-Ala". Lineage: Bacteria; Bacillati; Actinomycetota; Actinomycetes; Mycobacteriales; Mycobacteriaceae. The record is from RNAcentral.
AGCUCAGUUGGUAGAGCGCUACCUUUGCAAGGUAGAUGUCAGGAGUUCGAGUGUUAUC